GCCUGCCCAGUGAACAAUUAAACGGCCGCGGUACCCUAACCGUGCAAAGGUAGCAUAAUCAUUUGUCUACUAAUUAUAGACCUGUAUGAAAGGCAAAAUGAGGGUCCAACUGUCUCUUAUAAUAAAUCAAUUAAACUGAUCCCCUAGUAAAAAAGCUAGAAUCCUAACACAAGACCAGAAGACCCUGUGAAGCUUAAACUAAACUAUUAAACCUUAUAAUAACUAAUUUCGGUUGGGGCGACCUUGGAAAAAAAAAGAACUUCCAACACAUGAUUUUUCCAAAUCUAAAUUCUUUAGGCCAACAAGCCAUCUAACGACCCAGCUUAGUGCUGAUAAACGAAACAGUUACUCCAGGGAUAACAGCGCAAUCUUCUUUAAGAGCCCAUAUCAAAAAGAAGGUUUACGACCUCGAUGUUGGAUCAAGACAUCCUAAUGGUGCAGAAGCUAU
This 448-nucleotide ribosomal RNA is filed under the name Tantilla melanocephala (black-headed snake). Its description in RNAcentral is "partial 16S ribosomal RNA". It matches the Rfam family "Archaeal large subunit ribosomal RNA", at positions 1949 to 2634 of the family's 2987-position model. The record is from RNAcentral. Lineage: Eukaryota; Metazoa; Chordata; Lepidosauria; Squamata; Colubridae.